Molecule: long non-coding RNA, 399 nt
Organism: Chinchilla lanigera (long-tailed chinchilla)
Lineage: Eukaryota; Metazoa; Chordata; Mammalia; Rodentia; Chinchillidae
Exons: 3
Source: RefSeq, a predicted model, not a curated record
UCACCCACACUAUUGGGAAGUCCCCUAGUGUGAGGUUUGCUCCUCAUGUCCAGGGCCUUAGGGAUAGACAGCAGCUCCUGGGAAGCCAGAGAAAAGAAACCCACACUCAAGCAAGUACCUCAGGUUUCAGGCUCUCGGUGACCUGUGGUCAGACGAAAGCGAUUGAAGGUAUUUUUCUUUGUUCUGGAACUGAUGGUUCCUGGAAAGACAUCUGAAACCUACGUUUUUCUCCCUAGCAUGAAACUGCCAUAAAUGUCUACAGAGAAAAAACAUGAUAUAUUUUGUUGAAUGCAAGUAGUCAAAUUUAUGUAACAAGCUUCACCAAUAUACCUAAGGUAAGAUGCAAAAUGAAUCUUUGUAAGAAAAAUACAAUUCAAUAUAAAUAGAAUGUUACAGUGA